Molecule: ribosomal RNA, 251 nt
Filed under: uncultured prokaryote
Description: partial 16S rRNA
Rfam family: Bacterial small subunit ribosomal RNA
Source: RNAcentral
ACGGAGGAUCCGUGCGUUAUCCGGAAUUACUGGGUUUAAAGGGUGCGUAGGCGGGGCUUUAAGCCGGCGGUGAAAUGCAACGGCUCCACCGCUGGAAUGCCGUUGGGACUGUGGAUCUUGGAUACGGUCGGGGCGGGUGGAAACCUUGGUGUAGCGGUGAAAUGCAUAGAUAUCACGAGGAACGCCGGUAGCGAAGGCAGCACGCCGAGCCGGUAUUGACGCUGAGGCACGAAAGCGUGGGGUUCGAACAG